GAUAGGAGCUUGCUUCUCUGAUCAGUGGCGAACGGGUGAGUAACACGUGAGCAAUCUGCCCUUGACUCUGGGAUAAGCGUUGGAAACGACGUCUAAUACCGGAUACGACCCUUGGAGGCAUCUCUGGGGGUGGAAAGAAUUUUGGUCAAGAUGAGCUCGCGGCCUAUCAGACUAGUUGGUGAGGUAAUGGCUCACCAAGGGCGACGACGGGUAGCCGGCCUGAGAGGGUGACCGGCCACACUGGGACUGAGACACGGCCCAGACUCCUACGGGAGGCAGCAGUGGGGAAUAUUGCACAAUGGGCGAAAGCCUGAUGCAGCAACGCCGCGUGAGGGACGACGGCCUUCGGGUUGUAAACCUCUUUUAGUAGGGAAGAAGCGUAAAAGUGACGGUACCUGCAGAAAAAGCACCGGCUAACUACGUGCCAGCAGCCGCGGUAAUACGUAGGGUGCAAGCGUUGUCCGGAAUUAUUGGGCGUAAAGAGCUCGUAUGCGGUUUGUCGCGUCUGCUGUGAAAACCCGAGGCUCAACCUCGGGCCUGCAGUGGGUACGGGCAGACUAGAGUGCGGUAGGGGAGAUUGGAAUUCCUGGUGUAGCGGUGGAAUGCGCAGAUUUCAGGAGUGAACACCAAUGGCGAAGGCAGAUCUCUGGGCCGUAACUGACGCUUCAGGAGCGAAAGCAUUGGGAGCGAACAGGAUUAUGAUACCCUGGUAGUCCAUGCCGUAAACGUUGGGAACUAAUUUUGGGGACCAUUCCACGGUCUCCGUG
RNAcentral lists this ribosomal RNA (767 nucleotides) under uncultured bacterium. Its description in RNAcentral is "bacterial SSU rRNA". It matches the Rfam family "Bacterial small subunit ribosomal RNA", at positions 71 to 845 of the family's 1533-position model. The record is from RNAcentral.